This 450-nucleotide ribosomal RNA is filed under the name uncultured bacterium. RNAcentral describes it as "partial 16S ribosomal RNA". It matches the Rfam family "Bacterial small subunit ribosomal RNA", at positions 354 to 796 of the family's 1533-position model. The record is from RNAcentral.
GUGGGGAAUAUUGGACAAUGGGCGAAAGCCUGAUCCAGCCAUGCCGCGUGUGUGAAGAAGGUCUUCGGAUUGUAAAGCACUUUAAGUUGGGAGGAAGGGCAGUAAGUUAAUACCUUGCUGUUUUGACGUUACCGACAGAAUAAGCACCGGCUAACUUCGUGCCAGCAGCCGCGGUAAUACGAAGGGUGCAAGCGUUAAUCGGAAUUACUGGGCGUAAAGCGCGCGUAGGUGGUUCAGCAAGUUGGAGGUGAAAUCCCCGGGCUCAACCUGGGAACUGCCUCAAAAACUACUGGGCUAGAGUACGGUAGAGGGUAGUGGAAUUUCCUGUGUAGCGGUGAAAUGCGUAGAUAUAGGAAGGAACACCAGUGGCGAAGGCGACUACCCGGACUGAUACUGACACUGAGGUGCGAAAGCGUGGGGAGCAAACAGGAUUAGAUACCCUUGUAGUCC